GUGAGGAAUAUUGCGCAAUGGAGGCAACUCUGACGCAGCCAUGCCGCGUGCAGGAAGAAGGCGCUACGCGUUGUAAACUGCUUUUAACCGGGAAGAAACCCCAGGACGUGUCCUGGGUUGACGGUACCGGAGGAAUAAGCACCGGCUAACUUCGUGCCAGCAGCCGCGGUAAUACGAAGGGUGCAAGCGUUAUCCGGAUUCAUUGGGUUUAAAGGGUGCGUAGGCGGAGCGUUAAGUCAGUGGUGAAAUCCUGCAGCUUAACUGUAGACUUGCCAUUGAUACUGGCGCUCUUGAGUGCGCUUGAAGUGGGCGGAAUGUGCCGUGUAGCGGUGAAAUGCUUAGAUAUCACGAAGAACACCGAUUGCGUAGGCAGCUCACCAGACCACAACUGACGCUGAGGCGCGAAAGCCAGGGGAGCGAACGGGAUUAGAUACCCGAGUAGUCC
Molecule: ribosomal RNA, 445 nt
Filed under: uncultured bacterium
Lineage: Bacteria
Description: partial 16S ribosomal RNA
Rfam family: Bacterial small subunit ribosomal RNA
Source: RNAcentral